GACGAACGCUGGCGGCGUGCCUAAUACAUGCAAGUAGAACGCUGAAGGAGGAGCUUUCUUCUCUGGAUGAGUUGCGAACGGGUGAGUAACGCGUAGGUAACCUGCCUGGUAGCGGGGGAUAACUAUUGGAAACGAUAGCUAAUACCGCAUAAUAUUGACUAUUGCAUGAUAGUCAGUUGAAAGGUGCAACUGCACCACUACCAGAUGGACCUGCGUUGUAUUAGCUAGUUGGUGGGGUAACGGCUCACCAAGGCGACGAUACAUAGCCGGCCUGCGAGGGUGGUCGGCCACACUGGGACUGGGACACGGCCCAGACUCCUACGGGAGGCAGCAGGAGGGAAUCUUCGGGAAUGGGCGGAAGUCUGACCGAGCAACGCCGCGGGAGUGAAGAAGGGUUUCGGAUCCUAAAGCUCUGUUGUAAGAGAAGAAAGAGUGUGAGAGUGGAAAGCUCACGCUGUGACGGUAUCUUACCAGAAAGGGACGGCUAACUACGUG
This 495-nucleotide ribosomal RNA is filed under the name uncultured bacterium. RNAcentral's name for it is "partial 16S ribosomal RNA". It matches the Rfam family "Bacterial small subunit ribosomal RNA", at positions 28 to 507 of the family's 1533-position model. The record is from RNAcentral.